RNAcentral lists this long non-coding RNA (1319 nucleotides) under Oryctolagus cuniculus (rabbit). Its description in RNAcentral is "lncRNA (ENSOCUG00000038394.1)". The record is from RNAcentral. Lineage: Eukaryota; Metazoa; Chordata; Mammalia; Lagomorpha; Leporidae.
AUUUUUUCUUUUAUUGUAAAGGCAGUUUCUUGAGAAAUGUACUAAUUAUUGAGGGCAGCGUUUAAUACUUAGUGUUUCCUUUGAGAUAUCUCUGACUUUCCAAAUAUGCGAUUUGAUUUCUUUUGCUACUAUGAAACCAAAUUAGACUUAUUUAUGUGAUUUAUUAUUUACUAAAUUAUAAAUCGCCGUGAUUUCUUAAAAUGGUUUCUUAAGUUGCAAAAAUUUAUACAGAGAACACGAAAGGAUCUUCUGCAAGAACUAGAUACGGGAGAGUUUUUCACUAUCCUGCAUAAAAGCUGUGAAGUCUACUUCCAAAAGUACUACUUUGGCAAGUCUCACAACUCUGUUCUCCAGGUUUUGUUAUUUUUUUUUUUCCUGAAGCAUAACAUGUAUUCUCUAAAGUGCACAAAUCUUAAAUGUGCAGCUGGACAAAUGUGAGCAAAAUGACCACACCUGUGUAUCUGCCAGCCAGAUCAACAUGCACACCCUCAGGAGAAUGACCACGACCACUGUGAUUACAGCCACCACCCUCAAAGGUCCGGUCUACUUUGUCAGACUCUAAACAAGGGCUCACACUCUGCAACCGAGAAACUCCCCAGAAUUCCCCAUUUUCCUUUGUAAAGGCACUUGAGUCAGCUGCUCUCGGAUUUGUGGGGCCGGAGGGAAAUGGAGACGGGAACAGAAGGGCAGACGUCAGAGCUCCAUGACAGCAUCUUGUGUUCAUCUUUGUUCCUGUUUUGGAAGAGGGUAAAGAUAAAUUUCAGAUAUCAUUUUCAUCUAGUUUAUACCAGGAGAAAAGUAACCAUUCACUUCAUUCUCUUCCAAGCUCAUGGAAUUCUGUAUCAAUGAAAAAAUCACAUAGAAGCCAAUUUUGGAUCAAGUAAGAAAAAGAGGGAUAUCUUAGAUAAUCCUCUUUAAAGGAGAUUACCUAAGUGAUUAUUACUGGAAUGAGUAAGCCGGCUUAGUUUGGCUUGUAGUGCUUUAGGAACAUAUAACUGAAAUUUUAAACACAUAUACUGUGAUAUAACAGAUAUCUUAAAUGGCAGGAAGCAUCAAUUUGACUAAAUUUAUUGGCUUAAUUCCAAGGACUGUUCUCUUCAGAAUUGUUCUCAAAAAAUAUAACUUUGAGUCCAGACUUAAAUUGGAAGUUCUCCCAAAUAUAUGCCUUGUUUCCUGCCCAUUAGAAUUUAGACUAAUUGAAAUUUUAUAAAUAAGAUAAAAUCAAUAAUGUACACUGAAUUUUCAUGUAUAUAUUCAACUUUUUGAUUUAUUCAUUUUUGUAAAAAAUAAUAAUUUAUACCUCACGUUUGCAAGGUUAU